This 571-nucleotide ribosomal RNA is filed under the name Tuber levissimum. RNAcentral's name for it is "eukaryotic LSU rRNA". It matches the Rfam family "Eukaryotic large subunit ribosomal RNA", at positions 56 to 643 of the family's 3401-position model. The record is from RNAcentral. RNAcentral also lists the same sequence under 1 other name. Lineage: Eukaryota; Fungi; Ascomycota; Pezizomycetes; Pezizales; Tuberaceae.
GAAAAGAAACCAACAGGGAUUGCCUUAGUAACGGCGAGUGAAGCGGCAAAAGCUCAAAUUUGAAAUCUAACGCCUCUGGUGUUCGAGUUGUAAUUUGGAGAGGCAUCUUCCGGAGGGGCCCAGCCUAUGUGCCUUGGAACAGGACGUCAUAGAGGGUGAGAAUCCCGUUCUUGGCUGGAUGUUCCCUCCUUUAUGUAGUGUCUUCUACGAGUCGAGUUGUUUGGGAAUGCAGCUCAAAAUGGGUGGUAAAUUUCAUCUAAAGCUAAAUACUGGCGAGAGACCGAUAGCGCACAAGUAGAGUGAUCGAAAGAUGAAAAGCACUUUGAAAAUAGAGUCAAAAAGUACGUGAAAUUGUUGAAAGGGAAGCGCUUGAGACCAGAGUCAGCCUUUGGCAAACAAUUGUCCUUUGGGGCGGUGCACUUGUCAUUGGUUGGGCCAGCAUCGAUUGGGACGGUGGGAUAAAGGCUUGGGAAAUGUGACUCCAUUACGGAGUGUUAUAGUCCCAGGUGUCAUGCCAUCAGUCCCGAUCGUGGACCGCGCUUUGGGUCGGAUGCUGGCUUAAUGGUCUUCA